GACGAACGCUGGCGGCGUGCUUAACACAUGCAAGUCGAACGGAAAGGCCCUGCUUUUGUGGGGUGCUCGAGUGGCGAACGGGUGAGUAACACGUGAGUAACCUGCCCUUGACUUUGGGAUAACUUCAGGAAACUGGGGCUAAUACCGGAUAGGAGCUCCUGCUGCAUGGUGGUGGUUGGAAAGUUUCGGCGGUUGGGGAUGGACUCGCGGCUUAUCAGCUUGUUGGUCGGGUAGUUGCUUACCAAGGGUUUGACGGGUAGCCCGCCUGAGAGGGUGACCGGCCACAAUAGGCCUGAGAUACGGACCAGAAUCCUACCGGAGGCAGCAGGGGGGAAUAUUGCACAAUAGGGGGAAGCCUGAUGCAGCAACGCCGCGUGCGGGAUGACGGCCUUCGGGUUGUAAACCGCUUUCGCCUGUGACGAAGCGUGAGUGACGGUAAUGGGUAAAGAAGCACCGGCUAACUACGUG
This 468-nucleotide ribosomal RNA is filed under the name uncultured bacterium. RNAcentral describes it as "partial 16S ribosomal RNA". It matches the Rfam family "Bacterial small subunit ribosomal RNA", at positions 28 to 507 of the family's 1533-position model. The record is from RNAcentral.